Molecule: long non-coding RNA, 1114 nt
Organism: Leopardus geoffroyi (Geoffroy's cat)
Lineage: Eukaryota; Metazoa; Chordata; Mammalia; Carnivora; Felidae
Exons: 4
Source: RefSeq, a predicted model, not a curated record
GUGAAAAAGGAAGCGCACAUUUGCUAAAACCUUUGUGUGCAUAAUGCGUGUGUUGUGUACUCCCAACCGGUCCUGACUGACAGUCCACCUUGGAAGGACCACAGCCCCAAAGUGGUAGAUCCGGGAACUGAAUGUGAAAAUUUUAAGCUGUAAAGCCCAUCUUUCCUCCCACCUCCCUCACUACCCAAAGACCUCCCACCCUCAACUGUUAGGAGGGCAACUUUUCGGUGGCCUUUUCGGACCAUCUGUUCCUGGGAUGCAAAGGAAUUCCUUCGGGUGGUGAGGACACAAGACAGAAGCCUCCUUCGUCUCCCGCCUUGGGGCGGUCACACCUGCGCCACGGCUCUGGGUUUCAAAGUUGCUUCAGCCGCCCCUGGUCUGUGCCUGACCUCCUCUGCCUCCCUUCCACCACGGGGGACCCUGACGGCAGGUGCAUCGCAGGCCCGGCAGGGCGGCGUUCGGGGCGCGGGAGCGCUGCGCGUCCCCAGUGGAGGGAACGCUCCCCGGCAGCUGCGAUGGAGAAGCCGGCCAGCGAGACCCUCGCCGCUGGCUUCCAGUCCGUGGAGGAGGACGUGAGCUCCGCAUUACGGGGCCAGUGGUGUCUGUGACUGAAGAAGGCGGAGAGCGGUCUCUGGAGCCCGCCCCAACUUCACACACCCACUUCCAGGCCCUUCGCGGAACAAUGCGCGCAGCCGCAGACACCCCCCCGCGGGAGGAACUGCGCCAGCUCAGCUCUGCCCCCGCCCCCACUGCUAAAUUAGAAACAAAGCUGUAGCAGGUGAACAUUUACUGACAGAAUGGAAGAAAAGGUAGGAAGAUGGAAAAUAACGCUUCUAAGUACUGGCCUAGGCCGAGCACGUAAAAACCCCACAAAUUAAGAGUAUCGGAAAAACCCAAACUUGGGAAAAAGUACAUAAUGGAUUAACAGGAAGAGCGGAAGAGUGAGGCUGGCAAAUGUGGAAAGCUGGAGAAUAUGCUGUUACGUGGCCACACUUACAAACCAGGCUGACUGGGUCUUGAGUCGUCUCCAGAGACCAACCUCAGUCCUUACUAGAGGAUGGGGCACCUUUGGAAACUUAGGUCCGGCUUUUAAGAAAAUAGGGGGAAGGCAGAG